CAUUUAGUGCUGCAUUUAUUCUUGGUGGAAAGACGAGGAUCAAAAUCGUCCCCUCUAAAUCCCAGCAUGUGAACAGGACACAGGACUGCAACAGAACAUCUUCCUCGACUGCCAUGAAGACCAAGAUGAAGAUGAUGUGCUUCCCUCUCUGCCUGCUGCUGCUCACCGCCUGUUGCUUUGAUGCGUGGCGUAAGCCGCCUUUUCAUUAGUUUACCUGCACGUUCAUCUCAGUUUCUUUUCAUUUCCAUAAAACACAAGAUCCAUAAACAUUUUGUACCUUAAAGCAUUCUGUUUACAAUAACCUAGCCACUGGCAAGUUUGAGUCUCACUUUUAAGUUUGGGUACCUGGAAUUAGGCAACGUGGUACAUUUCUUGUAUUUUUGAAGCAUCUUAAGAGUUUGAAAUUCACCCGGUCAUUCUCACAAGCAAUGCAGCAUGACUUUGAGGAAUCUACGCUCUGCUGUUUCAAAUUCAGCAAGAUCCCCAUUCCGUUUGUACUAGUGGUCAACGUCAAGAAGACUAGUGCAUCCUGUCCCAUUCAAGGGUUUAUAGUUGAGACUAGAAAAAGCAAAAAUCUGUGUUAGCAAGACUUCCAUUUGGGGUCAUAAUUUCUUCAAUCGCGUCUAUAACUUGGAAAAUAUUGGGGAUGAAGAUUUGCAGCACUGAAGAUCUACAAGAAGACUGUCUCUUCAGGAGUUUACAGUUAUUUUCUUUAGUCACUUCAUGUCAUUUACAUUAAAUGAACAACAUGUUUAAGAAUUUCUUUGUGCUUAUCUGUUGGAACAAAAUUUGAAUGUAAAAACAAUAAAGAUUGGCACAUUUUGAAGGGGUUAACUCCAAGAAGUACCAGACUGUUUCUGUUUGCUUGUUGCGAACAAAUCUUCUAGUAUCAACAAAACGGGACUGUGUGGAGGCUUGAGGUUUGACACCAUCUCCUCUCGGAGAUUCUAGUGAUUAAAAAAUAGUUUUCUGUGUGAUUGCACUUUAACUUUGCACCUGCAUCAUUUAUCUGCCAGUUCUCCAGCCUCCUGUUUGUUGCAGCAACAUGCAUAAACUGUCUUAAAACACAUACGAGUUGAAUCAUCUGUAAUAUGUGGCCUUGUAAUGAACUGGGACCCCAUCAAGAAUAAAGUUCCUCAUGAUGGUU
Molecule: long non-coding RNA, 1147 nt
Organism: Oryzias latipes (Japanese medaka)
Lineage: Eukaryota; Metazoa; Chordata; Actinopteri; Beloniformes; Adrianichthyidae
Source: RefSeq, a predicted model, not a curated record